RNAcentral lists this ribosomal RNA (505 nucleotides) under uncultured bacterium. Its description in RNAcentral is "partial 16S ribosomal RNA". It matches the Rfam family "Bacterial small subunit ribosomal RNA", at positions 28 to 523 of the family's 1533-position model. The record is from RNAcentral.
GAUGAACGCUAGCUACAGGCUUAACACAUGCAAGUCGAGGGGCAUCAGGAAGAAAGCUUGCUUUCUUUGCUGGCGACCGGCGCACGGGUGAGUAACACGUAUCCAACCUGCCCUUUACUCGGGGAUAGCCUUCCGAAAGAAAGAUUAAUACCCGUUGGGAUAAUGAUUCCGCAUGGUUUGAUUAUUAAAGGAUUCCGGUAAAGGAUGGGGAUGCGUUCCAUUAGGUUGUUGGUGAGGUAACGGCUCACCAAGCCUUCGAUGGAUAGGGGUUCUGAGAGGAAGGUCCCCCACAUUGGAACUGAGACACGGUCCAAACUCCUACGGGAGGCAGCAGUGAGGAAUAUUGGUCAAUGGGCGCGAGCCUGAACCAGCCAAGUAGCGUGAAGGAUGACUGCCCUAUGGGUUGUAAACUUCUUUUAUAUUAGAAUAAAGUGCAGUAUGUAUACUGUUUUGUAUGUAUAAUAUGAAUAAGGAUCGGCUAACUCCGUGCCAGCCGCCGCUGUAA